AACUUCCAUAUAAGCAAUGCUGCUAAGAAAGAAUGAAUUAGUUAAAAAACCAUUAAUAGUGAAAUAUAUAAUAUUAAUAACUUAUUACAAUUCUAUAACUAAAAAAUAGUGAACUAUAAACAAGGAUUAGAAACCCUUUUAUACAUUACUUAUAAACCUUUCUUGGAGAUUAACGCUUUAAUAGUCCAAACCUAAACAUCAUGACGGUAAUUUUAAAAAUUAGGGGAACUUACCCUAUAAUUGAUAACCACCAUGGUAAACUAACUAUAUGAAAUUCAUGUAUGCCGUCGCCAUCAGGUAUGAUAAGAUAUUAUAUCAAUAUCAAUCACUUUGAAAAGGGCAGAUCAAGGUGCAGACAACCUUAUAGAAAGUGGCGAGUUACAAUUAAUUAUUUUAGCGGUAUUCGUGUGCUUAACCACUCAUUUAAGUAGGACUUAAUAGUAAUUUACAUUAUAUAUAAUAAAUGAAUA
Molecule: ribosomal RNA, 470 nt
Filed under: Papuina sp. Wagina
Lineage: Eukaryota; Metazoa; Mollusca; Gastropoda; Stylommatophora; Camaenidae
Description: partial 12S ribosomal RNA
Source: RNAcentral